Long non-coding RNA from Oncorhynchus tshawytscha (Chinook salmon), 613 nucleotides. The record is from Ensembl. NCBI's taxonomy places the organism in Eukaryota, Metazoa, Chordata, Actinopteri, Salmoniformes, Salmonidae.
UGCAAUUUCAUCUAUUUCCCUUUCCCUCACUCUCUGUGUGUGUAAAUACGUGUGUGUGUGUGUGUGUGUGCGUGUGUGUGUGUAUUUGUGUGUGUGUGUGUAUGCAUGUGUGUGUGUCAGCCUGUGUCAGGCAGCACCUCUAGGGGAAAACCCCACGCACCGUCUGUCUCAAACUGAUACAAAACACCCAGGAGUGGGAGGAGAGGAGGAGGUGGAGAGGAGAGAAGGGGAGGAGAUGAGAAGGUGGAGAGGAGAGAAGGGGAGGAGAGGAGAGGAGGAGGUGGAGAGGGGAGAAGGGGAGGAGAAGAGGAGGUGGAGAGGAGAGAAGGGGAGAAGUAGGAGGAGGUGGAGAGGAGAGAAGGGGAGAAGGAGGAGGUGGAGAGGAGAGAAGGGGGAGGAAGUGGAGAGAAGAGAAGGGGAAAAUGAGGAGGAGGGGGUAGAGAGGAGAGAAGGGGAGAAGGAGGAGGAGGAGGAGGAGAGGAGAGAAGGGGGAGAAGGAGGAGGAGGUGGAGAGGAGAGAAGGGGAGAAGGAGGAGGAGGUGGAGAGGAGAGGAGAGAAGGAGGAGGAGGUGGAGAGGAGAGGAGAGAAGGAGGAGGAGGAGGUGGAGAGGAG